Molecule: unclassified non-coding RNA, 201 nt
Filed under: Hevea brasiliensis (rubber tree)
Lineage: Eukaryota; Viridiplantae; Streptophyta; Magnoliopsida; Malpighiales; Euphorbiaceae
Source: RNAcentral
GGAUAACAGAUAAUGAAGUGAAACGUAACAUAGAAGGACGCUAAAAAUAAGAAGCAAGCAUCUCCGUACAAAGUUAAUUUACCAGAACAUGAGAAGAAUUGUGAGUCAUUUCUUUACCAGAAUAUGAAAAUUGAGAAGGCAUGCAAAUGAGUUUUUGCAAGCAUGACUCAGAGACUAAAGUGACAGAUGAGUCACUUCUUC